Molecule: ribosomal RNA, 301 nt
Filed under: uncultured bacterium
Lineage: Bacteria
Description: partial 16S ribosomal RNA
Rfam family: Bacterial small subunit ribosomal RNA
Source: RNAcentral
CAGUCGCCACGGUAAUACGAAGGGUGCAAGCGAUAAUCGGAAUUGCUGGGCGUAAAGCGUGCGCAGGCGGUUUGUUAAGACAGAUGUGAAAUCCCCGGGCUUAACCUGGGAACUGCAUUUGUGACUGGCAAGCUAGAGUAUGGCAGAGGGGGGUGGAAUUCCGCGUGUAGCAGUGAAAUGCGUAGAUAUGCGGAGGAACACCGAUGGCGAAGGCAGCCCCCUGGGCCGAUACUGACGCUCAUGCACGAAAGCGUGGGGAGCAAACAGGAUUAGAUACCCCCGUAGUCCCUGUCUCUUAUAC